CCGGCGCACGGGUGAGUAACACGUAUGCAAUCCACCUGUAACAGGGGGAUAACCCGGAGAAAUCCGGACUAAUACCCCAUAAUAUGGGCGCUCCGCAUGGAGAGUUCAUUAAAGAGAGCAAUUUUGGUUACAGACGAGCAUGCGCUCCAUUAGCCAGUUGGCGGGGUAACGGCCCACCAAGCCUUCGAUGGAUAGGGGUUCUGAGAGGAAGGUCCCCCACAUUGGAACUGAGACACGGUCCAA
This 243-nucleotide ribosomal RNA is filed under the name uncultured bacterium. Its description in RNAcentral is "partial 16S ribosomal RNA". It matches the Rfam family "Bacterial small subunit ribosomal RNA", at positions 95 to 334 of the family's 1533-position model. The record is from RNAcentral.